Molecule: small nuclear RNA, 104 nt
Organism: Hemiscyllium ocellatum (epaulette shark)
Lineage: Eukaryota; Metazoa; Chordata; Chondrichthyes; Orectolobiformes; Hemiscylliidae
Source: RefSeq, a predicted model, not a curated record
GUUAACUUCAGCAGCACAUAACAUCAAAACUGGGACAAUACAGAGAAGAUUAGCAAGGCCUCUGGGUAAGGAUCACACAAAUUCGUGCUGCGUUCAAAACAAAC